UCGUUACCUGCUGUUAGCUGAGACAGGAGAAUUACAGAGUAACUUGCCUCAAUGAGUCAGAAUUUCCUUUUUAGCUCAAUAUAAGUAGUACAGAUAACUGUGUUCUUCCUUCUUUUCCCAGGAAAGUUUAGUUUGCAUCCUCCCAGUAUAUUCAUGUGAAAGAACAUUAAAAUGUCAAAAAGACAACUGAAAAAUGGGUCAAAAAAUGAGAGUGUAAUCCUUGUGGCUAAGCCUCCUUCCAGAAAUAAGAGUAUCACAUCUCCUAAACAGUCACACCUAAGCAAGGAGAGGGAAAUGUCAGACUGCCAAAGAGCUCAAACUUCUGAAGAUGCAGGUUCAAACAGCAAGUGAAAGUCAAACUGGACUUUCAGCUCCUUUUUUCUCCCCAAGGAUUCUUACAGUAUUUAUUAGGUUUUAGCUUUCUUGAAUUCAUUGUUACUCUCCCACAUCAGCAGUUUCUUCCAUAAUGCUGCUGCCCCUCUAGUUAUGCUGGCCAAACUAAUGUUUUUCAGCAGCUGGUAUUUUUUUGACUCUAUAGUUUGGUUUUCAAACAGUACCUAAUUGAAAAAUAAUCUCUUGGCUUUCAUUUUUCCAGAGUAGCUUCCCAGUAAUAAAGAGUGUAAGGUAAAAAAGCUGUACUUCAAGCAAUGUGGACCCAGAGUCACAUGUGAAAUAGAAUAAUUAUGUUCUAAAGUUUGCAAUGCAAGAUGUUUUUCCUAACCUAAAUUACUUGGAGUUCUACUGUACAGUGCUGUAAUGGCAACAUGACAUUUUUCCCUAUUGCAUUAUUUUAUAUAUAUAUAUAUAUAUAUAUAUAUAUAUAUAUAUAUGUAAAAGUUUCUCAUUUUUAUGGAGCUGUGACUUUUGCCAGGAAGUAAAAGUCAAACAUUUCCUAGUGAAAAAAUGGUGACAGUUCUCUCUGUUUUUGCAGACAUACCUAUUCCAGGUAUGGAAUACUUCACUGAUACUGUAUUCCAAAUAAAGAGAAAUCCUGACUUAAGACAUUUGUGUCACUGCAGAUUUGCGGGUACAAAUGGCUCAUGCAAGAUAUUCUCAGGUGGAUGGAGAAUCAUGAGAUGUGAUGGGAAAACAAAGAAAAUUUACACAUGGGGAGCAUUUUUGGAUUACCCUGAGCUCAGAUGUUAGAACUGUGCAUACACAGAAUUGCAGUGUUACAAGGGUUACCCCAGUCCCCUGUAGGAAAGAAGCUGCCAUCCCAAGCUAUACUGGGGAAGGGGUCAAGAAUGCAUCUAGCUACAGCUUUGCAUGGAUUGGAGAAGGACCUGCCUACAGAGGAUAUUGCUAUGAAGAAAAUUUGGGAAAUUGCUAUGUUGAAGAGCUGGAGGAUGGUCAAGGCAGAGGAGGCUGCUGUUUACCUGCCAUGAUGAGAAAGGAAAUAUUACAGAACUACAGAAUCAGGUGACUUUUUUAGGUUGUAAAAAACCUGAGACUGAGUCAAACCUUUGACUGAUCUCCACCUUGUAAAUGAAACCACAGCACUAAGUGCCACAUCCCGUCGUUUCUUGAACAAUUCCAGGGAUGAUGAUGCCACCGCUUCCCUGGGAAGCCUGUUCCAAUGUUUAACAACUAUUUCCACAAAGAAAUUCCUCCUGAUGUCCAGCCUAAACCUCCCCUGGCACAGCUUAAGGCUGUGCCCUCUUAUCUUGUCGCUAGUUGCCUGAGAGAAGACUUUACAGGAGAGUGAUUCCUUUUGAGAGGACAGACAGGUCUGCCUCAACUGUCCUGACUCAGCACAUUUGGAACAAAACAUCACCAAGUGCAGAAAGAGGCGUUUGUAAUGCUUGCUCCAGAUCACAAAAUAAACAGAGGGAAUGUGCAGCUGGCCUGGUAGCAGCAACAGAGCCUAAGCCUUUGCUCUUCAUUUGGCACAAAGAGCUGCAGUGCCUGCAUAGGAAUUAAACAUUUUCUUUUCACCAGACCUCUCUGCCACAUUCAGAAACACCAGUGAUAUGAUGCUGCAGCUGACCUGAAAAGUGAGUGGGCAGAAACUGUAAAGAUUUUACAUUAAGAAAACAGCCAGUAUGCUCCCAAUGCAGUACAUACUGAUUCUUCUUGGUUUGUAUCACCUUGAUUAUUCCACCUCUAGUAAUACAGAAAGCAGGAUCCUGAGCUGAACAAAUUCAAAGAGAAAUGUCUUACUCAGGAAUAAAAAACUGCAGAUUAACCAAGAUCUGUAUCACAAACCAAUUUCAAACAUGUAAAGCAAGAUCACCAAAUGAAGAACUUAAUGUCAGGUUCCUAAGAUUUCUACCAUGCUGACAGUUUGUGAUAAAAAAACCCACGAAUCUUGUUCACAGAAAUUCAUUAUGUAGCAUUUUACACAAAAAUACAGGAUGUUGUUAUACAGCCAAGCAUCUGGGAUGAUUAACCCUGAUUUAAGAAAAACAAAUCUCUAGGAAAAGCAGCUAUUUACGAGAACAAGGAUGAAGGCAGAACAAACUACCGGAUUUGUGCAAUUUGAACAAGCUGAAUGUUAGGAAGCAUUAUUUUACCAUAAAACAAAUCAAACAGAAAUACUUACCUUGAUCCUAACAGAUGCUGAGUACAAAGCUACUAGUAAUUUCCCUCAAAAAAACUCAGACCAGUACCUUUAGAGAGAGAGAGGAUUAAAAUUACCUGAAACAUUCAGCAAUGUUUUCACAGUACCAAAGAAGAGGAAUUCAGGGAAGCCACACAGGAGUAUGUCCUGAAAGAUGUGCUGAAUACUGAACAAAGGGGCAGUCGAGCCCACAGUGCAAUGACAGCUGUGGGCAACAACAGAGAUGAGGCCAGGAGGAAGACACAGCCAAAGCAAGAGCAGAGUGAAAACACCAGAGACAUGUAUUUUGUUUUAUCCAUGCUAAUGCAUACAUAUUAAUGUAUGGGCUCUCUUCCCUGGUUGCAAAGCUGUCCCACCAUCCCACUACCUAUAGUCACUUCAGUGCUCAAUCUCAACACACAGUUAAAUAAUUUCUGCUAGAGCUUUUCCUGACAGUUUUCUUGCAUUCAAAUAUACAUGCUCUUUCUUCCAACUCUGAAGCAUCAUCACUACUUGCAGGAAGCCUGCUCCUUGCACUAAAUAGAACUACUUAGCUGAUUUAUAGGGCAUUUACUGUAACUGCUUUUGGGAACAAACAAAGCAGUCUUUUUUCUAUUUCCUUUCCUCGGCAAAGAAUCAGAACUGUCAGAAGUAUCCAUUAGCACAGCAUUUGUCCAAGAAUUCUGUCAUACUGCUGUUAUUACAGGAAAGACAAGAAAAGCAAUCUCAGACAAGGACAUAUGACUUGGCAGACAAGUGAAAAAGAGAUAUCAGCCUAAUAUUCCAAGAAGAAACUUAGCUACUGCCAGCAAGCUGACAGCUACAGUUCAUGUGCAUCUGCUGUUUCCCUGGAACUGCAUUUUGCAGAAGUGUGAAGUCAGACACUUCGCAAUUCUAGCAAGUUAAGACAUUAAAGAAAAAAACUCAGCACUCUGAAUCCAUAGUAAAAUAACCAAACAAGCUUUAAUAUGUUUUUUUCCAAGAUCUAAUAUACAAAUACAAUGGUAAUAAUGUACUCUUCUUUUGUAAGCUUGGAUGAAAUAUAUUGAAGUCCACUUUCCGCAUGUUAUAUAAAUAAUCAUCUAAAGCAACCUAGAAAAGAAGAAAAAGCCUUAAUACACAUGGUGCACACAAAUAAUUAGGCAUUAAGUUUUAAAAGCAAUACAAGAAACCAAAUAAGAAACUGCAAAAAAGGCUUGAUAGUUUGCCUGUGCUAUUAAAUGGUAGUGAAAUCAUCACAUUCCAAGCAUAUAAAAAAGUCAAGUUUUGUGAAGAGAAGCAUUAUCUUUUAGUAGACCAAACACCAAAUUAUGAAAAUAGACAGGAUUUGGGGCUCUUGCAUUAGAACAGCAGUCUAUGAAUAAAGACAUCUUGGGUGGAAUGAUGUAGUUAAAAGAGAAGGAUUAGAAGUGUUGAUCAAAACUCUAAGGUUCUACAGUCAGGCACACAUUAUGAUUUCUAUGAGUUUUAGAUAUUACAUCCUCCCAAAAUAAGACACGUGAAGUGGUAGUUGACCAUGCUUAAUUUGAAUACUCUUCACAAAUGCAUCAGCACAGCAAUAAGUCCAUCACUUAAAGAGUGAGAUCACACCCACCGUACAGAAAAAAGCAGGAUACGCCUUCACAGGAACUUUCUUACUGAAAGAUCUAGCCUAAAAGUAAAUGGGGUAA
This is a long non-coding RNA of Passer domesticus (house sparrow), 4209 nucleotides long. RefSeq lists it as uncharacterized. NCBI's taxonomy places the organism in Eukaryota, Metazoa, Chordata, Aves, Passeriformes, Passeridae. The transcript is spliced from 2 exons. The record is from RefSeq and is a predicted model, not a curated record.